GUUGAAUUAGUAUAUCAGUAUGUAGUGUUGUGAUCACUAAGGUAGUCCUAGAUUAUUCGACU
This 62-nucleotide transfer RNA is filed under the name Brachionus angularis. Its description in RNAcentral is "tRNA-His". The record is from RNAcentral. Lineage: Eukaryota; Metazoa; Rotifera; Eurotatoria; Ploima; Brachionidae.